This 253-nucleotide ribosomal RNA is filed under the name uncultured bacterium. Its description in RNAcentral is "partial 16S ribosomal RNA". It matches the Rfam family "Archaeal small subunit ribosomal RNA", at positions 474 to 727 of the family's 1478-position model. The record is from RNAcentral.
UACCAGCACCCCGAGUGGUCGGGGGGUUUAUUGGGCCUAAAGCGUCCGUAGCCGGUUCUACAAGUCUUCCGUUAAAUCCAACUGCUUAACAGGUGGGCUGCGGAAGAUACUAUAGAGCUAGGAGGCGGGAGAGGCAAGCGGUACUCGAUGGGUAGGGGUAAAAUCCGUUGAUCCAUUGAAGACCACCAGUGGCGAAGGCGGCUUGCCAGAACGCGCUCGACGGUGAGGGAUGAAAGCUGGGGGAGCAAACCGG